This 755-nucleotide ribosomal RNA is filed under the name uncultured Halomonas sp. RNAcentral's name for it is "bacterial SSU rRNA". It matches the Rfam family "Bacterial small subunit ribosomal RNA", at positions 28 to 774 of the family's 1533-position model. The record is from RNAcentral. Lineage: Bacteria; Pseudomonadati; Pseudomonadota; Gammaproteobacteria; Oceanospirillales; Halomonadaceae.
AUUGAACGCUGGCGGCAGGCCUAACACAUGCAAGUCGAGCGGAAACGAUGGAAGCUUGCUUCCAGGCGUCGAGCGGCGGACGGGUGAGUAAUGCAUGGGAAUCUGCCCGAUAGUGGGGGAUAACCUGGGGAAACCCAGGCUAAUACCGCAUACGUCCUACGGGAGAAAGCAGGGGAUCUUCGGACCUUGCGCUAUCGGAUGAGCCCAUGUCGGAUUAGCUUGUUGGUGAGGUAAUGGCUCACCAAGGCGACGAUCCGUAGCUGGUCUGAGAGGAUGAUCAGCCACAUCGGGACUGAGACACGGCCCGAACUCCUACGGGAGGCAGCAGUGGGGAAUAUUGGACAAUGGGCGAAAGCCUGAUCCAGCCAUGCCGCGUGUGUGAAGAAGGCCCUCGGGUUGUAAAGCACUUUCAGUGGGGGAGAAAGCCUUGGGAUUAAUACUCCCGAGGAAGGACAUCACCCACAGAAGAAGCACCGGCUAACUCCGUGCCAGCAGCCGCGGUAAUACGGAGGGUGCGAGCGUUAAUCGGAAUUACUGGGCGUAAAGCGCGCGUAGGCGGUCUGAUAAGCCGGUUGUGAAAGCCCCGGGCUCAACCUGGGAACGGCAUCCGGAACUGUCAGGCUAGAGUGCAGGAGAGGAAGGUAGAAUUCCCGGUGUAGCGGUGAAAUGCGUAGAGAUCGGGAGGAAUACCAGUGGCGAAGGCGGCCUUCUGGACUGACACUGACGCUGAGGUGCGAAAGCGUGGGUAGCAAACA